Bombyx mori (domestic silkworm) is the source of this 781-nucleotide long non-coding RNA. RefSeq lists it as uncharacterized. The record is from RefSeq and is a predicted model, not a curated record. The transcript is spliced from 3 exons. NCBI's taxonomy places the organism in Eukaryota, Metazoa, Arthropoda, Insecta, Lepidoptera, Bombycidae.
CUGGUUCUUGGCACGAUGAGGCGGAGUAGCCGCGAGGGCACGCGCAGAUCUCAACCCCUAACGCUGGGGCUGAGCGACUCAGGCCCGGAAUGGCUGUGUCUAGAGACACGUUUAAUAGCCUGUUGGAAAAAGACAUUUACUACUCACAAAGCAUGGACGUGUUCAUCAUAUCUGGGCGCUCUGGUGGUGACCCUCAGCAGGAUCCUGUCGACCCUCUGCAGCGCCAGCAUAAGCGCGGCGCGGGAGCUCUGCGCGUUGUGGCCGCGGACCCACCAGAGCGACUCGUGGAGACGGAUCGAGUAACUCCCGUUUAAAGGAGGCACGUGCUGGUUGGAACUCUAUGUGUAGGGGCGAGGCCGCGUGCACGGCGGCCCGCGCCAGCUCCGCCUGUGAGCACUGCGCCGCGCGACCGAAGCAGAAGCAAGCCGUGCAGCCGACGGGGUUCUCCGCGGCCAGACCGAACGUGCCUUCGAGGCACUUCUCGCACUUCUCCCCCACAACGUUCUCCUGUUCAAUAUCAAUGUUUUAUACUGUCCUUACAAGAUAACAAAAAGCUACCACCAAUAAUAAUAUAAGUUACGUCCAUUAAUAUAUUCAUUUAGGAUUGGUAACAACGGAACGUAUGAAGAGAGUGUUGCACGGAGCGUUAAGACAUGAGGUAACGGGAAAGAAAACGGUAAAAAAAAAGAAAAAAGAAUGACAGAGAGUAAAAAAGGUGUCACUUAAUUUUUAAUUAUAAUAAUAUAAGAUUUUAGAAAAUAACAAUAAAAGUGCAACAGUG